ACAGAGCCACGUGCUGGGACAAGGACCCCCAGGACAGGGUGGCGGCGCAGCCACAUGAGAACAGAUGAGCAAUGAACCAGGAAGGAGACAUGUCAGAGCCACGUCCACACAGGCAGGUGUGAGCGGACAGCGGGAGGGAACACGGCGUCUCGGGGAUGAGCCCGGCUCCUGGGCCGUAUGCACGGACAGCAGCACAGAAGCUCCCAUUUGUUGCUGGGCUCCCGGGUAAACAGGCCAGGAGGGGAAAGUGAUGGUACAACAGGUGUGACCUGGGACUUGCGGGUUCUGAAGUGUCACACGUGUACCCAACGGGUCCACAGAAGGAGGGCUCGAGAACCAAGGACAGAAAUCAGGAGUUAAAAACCCUCACUGCAAGGGAACUACGCUUCGAGGGAAAUGAAGAUCAAAUCCUGGUUUCGAUGGUACUUGUUGAGAGUUCACCUGUUUCGCCCACAGUAAUGAACAGGUGGAUGACAAUGAAGCCAAGUGCAUCAAAGGAAACAGAUGAAACCCUAAGCAGAAUCCACCUGCAAGUUUCAUCAUGUACAGCAGGCGCCCGGCCUCUGCCUGCAGCUCUGCCAAGCCCAAGGUGAAACCUCCCACCCGCUCAGCACCCAGCACGACUUCCUCCUGCUGAGGCAACCUGGAUCAGACCAAACGGACCCUUCCAAGAGACAGAAGGAAACAACACACAUGACUCUGGAAAGACUCGAGAUGCUCCAGCAGCCGCCCAGGGCUUCAGACGCUCUGGAAGGGACGUGCUGGCCCCAGGAGCUGCCAGAAGCCCGGCCCCGCCAGGCGUUGCUUCACGGCAGUUUCAUUCAUUCCCUUCCCAGGGAUUUCAGCCGGCUGCGUCAGACAAUUGCUCACUCUUGCUGAGGGCAAAUCUCUGAAUAGUUCUGAGGUGCUGCUGCCAAACCGCCUGGGUGCUCUGCCCUAAACGGCAGGACAGCACGCCUCACUCUUUGCCAGCAUAUGCCGGGGGGUGGCACAGGGCUCGGCUCUCCUAAGCCUUUGAGAAGACCGUUUUACACCUCGGGAGGAAGGGGAAAAACGAAUGUCUCUCCACCUCAACGUGGAACUUGGAGAUGUCAAAAUAAAAA
Molecule: long non-coding RNA, 1103 nt
Filed under: Homo sapiens (human)
Lineage: Eukaryota; Metazoa; Chordata; Mammalia; Primates; Hominidae
Description: HSALNT0246575
Source: RNAcentral